RNAcentral lists this long non-coding RNA (29270 nucleotides) under Mytilus galloprovincialis (Mediterranean mussel). The record is from RNAcentral. Lineage: Eukaryota; Metazoa; Mollusca; Bivalvia; Mytilida; Mytilidae.
GAAAAAAAUUGGGAAGUAAACAGAGAAAAUGGCUUUGCAGCCAACAUUUACUGUUCGAAUUCGUACAGAACAAGAACAAGAUAUGGAUUGGAUGGUGCAACCAGAUCAGAUCACAUUUAAUCAGGCAUUAGUGAGAAAAUCAAUCUUACAAAAAACAACAUGAUAUUAAAUUAGGCUCUCAAACUGUACCACUAGUAUAGUUAUACCAUUGUUUACAAUGCUUUUCUGUGUAAAUAUCAGACUGACUUAACAAAUAACACUUUUAAUUUUGAGAAUAUAUAUAUACAUAUCUAUUUAUUUGUUGAUGAAAAUAAAGAUAUAUAUGUAUAUAUACAAUGAUAUACAUCAUGUCAUGUAUAGAAAAAAAUAUUUUACAUGUAUAUCACAAGCUGAAGCAAGUGAAGGAUGCAAGUAUUUUACAAGAACAGUGAAGGUGUGCUAAUUUAUCUAUAAUGACAUCCAACAAUAAAUAUUUUGAUAUAUGUCAAUAGUUUGAUGAUGACAACAACUCAGAAAUAUUUUAACCAGUAAUACAUAUAAUUGCAGAGAAACUAACAUGACCUCCCUUUCCAAAUAUUACACCUAAUAAAUUCUGAGUUUCUGAGGUCUUAAAAAUCUAUUUUAUUUCUUACUGUGUCCCGGCCUAAACUCUGCUGGAAAUUGGUAAUCAAACCUGUCAUGCAGUGACACAGAUCAAGACACUUUUAUAAAGGGGGAAGGGGGGCUGAUUGCCAAUAAAGGGGCCCUCUCCAGUCAUACAUUGUACUUCAGUUUUUCCCUACUAAAUCAACCAAACUUUUCCCUAAAAAAGGGGGGGGGGGGUAAUUAUGUCUCUGUUAUGAACAACUAUUUACAAGGGGUUAUAUCUGAACUCAAGACAUCAAGUUAAAAAGCAAAAAAGAAGGGAACUCUUUGAUAAUGUCUAAUAUAUAUAUGUACAUGUAUACAAAUUUAAAGUAAUUACAGUAUUAAACUGAUUUUUGAUUUUGAGUUUUUAAUAAAAAAAAAAAAAAUAUUGCAUACAUUUUUAAACAUUUUUUUAAAUGUAUGCAAUAUUUGGCUUUUUUGUUUUAACUUUUUGUUAGGUUCUAUAGGGGAUAUUAUAUUUAUAUACAAAAAACAAUGAUAUAUAAUAUGUACAACAUUAUCUUAUUAUAUUUGACAGGAAGUGAUAUCAAGAGUGCUGCCUCAAGCCACAAUAACAGCAUUUGAAUGUAUGUAAAUAUUUAAGUGUGUUUAUUUUUUUCUGCCUAUGUUAUGAUUGAUAUUAGCAUCUAUGAUUUUGAAAUUAUUAGAAAAUUAAGAAGAAGUGGUAAGAUUGCCAAUGAGAAUGCUCUCCAUCAGAGAUCAAAGUGUACAUGUUUAAAUCAGGGAGCAAUACAACUGUGAUUCCCUUAAAUUUUCAGCAACCAGUUAUUGAUGAAUAAUAUAUUAAUUGGGUAUGAGUUUUGAGAAAUAAAAGAAUUUUAUAACAUUACAACAAUAUUUUCAAUUUUAAUGUAAAACUGUGUUAAACUCAGAAAUUAUAUGUAUUGUGUUGUGUCUUCAUUUCAACAUAUUUUUUUCUAAUUGUUAUUAAAAUUAGGUAAUAAUAAGGUGGACUUUAAGGUGUACAUUAACUGCAUUGUUUUAACAAUGCUUUCUAGUUCACCUAAAUAGGUACUGGUGAACAGAAAAAGCUUGUGAAAGUUGUGUAAUUGCAUUGUAUAUAUAUAUAUAUAUACAGGGAGAGCUACUGAAUUAAGCAUUAAAAUGUAUUAAUUUUUUUUUUCAGAUGAAGAUGAAGAUGGGGACAGAAUUACAGUAAGAAGUGAUGAAGAGAUGAAGUCUAUGUUCCAAACCGUAGGUACAUCGGAUAUUCUAAAUUGCUUAAUAUUUAUUUAGCAGAACUCACUGCUUAUACAUGUUAUACAAAGAUAGAAUCAAAUCAAAGAGACGAAGAUGAAAUCCAAUCAAAGAGACAAAGAUGAAAUCAUAUCUAGGAGACAAAGAUGAAAUCAAAUCAAAGAGUCAAAUUAUGUUGAUCUUAAACUUCAGUUAUUUCUUAGCUUGGAAUAUUUUUUUUUAAACAUGAUUAUUCAGUGCUUUUUAUUGAAUAGGCAAAUGUAUACCUAAGAUUGUUUUUGGAAGUUUUAUUUUAAACUAAACUUAUAUGUUACAUGUAAGGCACAAAAAUGACAAUAUAAUUUAAACAGCUCUGAUAUUAAGAAAAUGUAGAUAGUAAACAUACUCACCCGGAUGUUUUCAUAAUCUCUAUAGAGUUAAAUAGUUCAGUGACUUAACUGAUAUUAUACUUAGGGCUUACAAUGAUGUGCAAUUAGGAUGAUAAACGAUUUCUUCCUGUCCAUCCAUUAAUUUUUUUAGCUUCUAAAGAGGUCAUAGAUUUGUAACUGUCACCUAUAUUGUCAGUGGUUUUUAGUUAGGAUGCAUUAUAUUUUAGGGGAGAGGGGAUUAAAGACAGGAAAUUGUAUUUGUUAAGAAUCAUUUUGAAAUGUUUGGUCUGUAAGAAGGAUCUUACAUAUUUCUUUUUUAGAGAAACAGAAUUUAUUUCUAUCUCCUCUAAUGUUCUAUAAGCCUACAUUAACAGAUCUAUUUUGCUAAAAAAAGUUUAACCACCUAUUUUAUAACCUUUUAACCUUGAUUUAGUGUGUCCCUUAUUAAUAUAUGGCUUAUUUACUCCUAUAUAAAUACAUUAUGAUAUUUCCUUCCACACUCUUUCAAAUUUCAAACAACAAGCAAAACCUACACCAACACACCUUCAACAAUUUGCAAAACCUAGACCCACACACUUUCAACAAUGAGCAAAGCUUAACACUAUAACUAGCUUUAAAUUUUAAAGGAUAUUAUCUUUUGUAUAAUUACAUUUUCUUGCAUUUCAGUAUUUUAACUUGUUAAGUGAUGAAGACUAUGCAAGAGGAUUAUUACCUCCCCUGAUUAUAUACCCUAGAGGUAAGUUAGAAAAAGAAUCCACUUAUGGAUAAUAACCUCCCCUUAUCAUAUACCCUAGGGGUAAGUUAGAAAAUGAUUCAUGAGGGGAUUAUUACCUCUCCUGAUUAUAUACCCUAGAGGUAAGUUAAAAAAUGAUUCAUAAGAGAAUCAUUACCUCCCCUGAUUAUAUACCCUAGGGGUAAGUUACAAAAAUGAUUCAUAAGAGGAUAAUUACCUCCCCUGAUUAUAUACCCUAGAGGUAAGUUACAAAAAUGAUUCAUAAGAGAAUUAUUACCUCUCCUGAUUAUAUACCCCACAGGUAAGUUACAAAAAUGAUUCAUAAGAGAAUUAUUACCCAUCCUGAUAAUAUACCCUAGAGGUAAGUUACAAAAAUGAUUUAUAAGAGAAUUAUUACCUCUCCUGAUUAUAUACCCUAGAGGUAAGUUACAAAAAUGGUUCAUAAGAGAAUUAUUACCUCUCCUGAUUAUAUACCCUAGAGGUAAGUUACAAAAAUGAUUCAUUACCUCCCCUGAUCAUACACAAGAUGUCAGUCAGACAAAUAAUUCACAAGAGGAUAGUUACCUCCCCUUAUCAUACCUGAGAUGUAAGUUGGAAAUAUAACUCAGGAUAGAGAUAUUACAUCCCCUGAUCAUACACUUAGAGGUGAGUUAGAAAAUGAUUCCCAAGAGGAUUAUUACCUCCUCUGAUCAUGUACCCAGGAGAUUUGUUAAAGAAUUAUUCACAAGAGGAUGAUUACCUCCCCUGAUAAUACCCUAGUGAAUAAUUAUCUCCCCUGAUCUUAUAUAUGAAGAGGAUUAGUUUAGAAAAAUGAUCCAAAAGAGCAUAGUUACCUCUCCUCAGUCCUGAUCAAAUGUUAGAAAAAUAAUUCACAAGAUUAGUAUUACUUCCCCUGAUCAAAUACCCUAAAAGUAAGUUAAAAAAAAUAAUCUCUCAAGGUAUAUUCUCAGAAUGAAAGCCUUUUGUUGACAGUAGCAUUUAAGAGAUAAGUGAGCUGUUUCUAGUUGCUAUGGUAUCAGGCUCCCAAGUUAAAAACGUACAAUAUUUGUUAAAAAAUUUCUGGGUUUCAUCAAAAAGAAAACUGUCUUUUUAACAGUCUUUUUGAUCACUGAUCUAUUUACAUUAAUAGAAAAAAAAAUUUUAUGAAGGUUUUGACUAUCCAAAACUAAGUACAAAUUAUUAUGCCCCACCUACGGUAGUAGAGGGGCAUUAUGUUUUCUGGUCUGUGCAUGUGUUUGUUCGUCCAUUCUUCUGUCUGUCCUAAUUCAGGUUAAAGUUUUGGUCAAGGUAGUUUUUUUAUGAAGUUGAUGUCCAAUGAACUGGAAAUUUAAUACACAUGUUCCCUAUGAUAUGAUCUUUCUAAUGUUUAUUCCAAAUUAGAUUUUUUACCCCAAUUUCACGGUCCACUAAACAUGGAAAAUGAUAGUGCCAGUGGGGAAUCUAUGUUCUUUGGACACAUUCUUUGUUUUUUUACGACCGCAAAAAUUAAAAAAAUUUUUGAUCGUAUAUUGGUAUCAUGUUGUCGUCGUCGUCAGCGUCGUCCUAAGACGGAUGAUUUCCGGAUAAUAACCAUUAUCUUUGAAUCAUGGACAUUUAACUUUAAACGUAAAGUUGUUCUUGAUUUAUUUAUAUUUCAGUUGGAAAAACACCACAAAACAGAAACAAGUUUGGUUUAAAGGUAAGUUUUGAAAGCUUAUAGAUUGAUUGAUUGGUGUUCUUACACCACUUUCAGCUAUAUUUCACUAUUUUUUAGCAGUCAGUUUUGUAUUUGUGGAGGAAGCAAGAGUGCACUAUGAAAACUACUAACCUUCAUUUGGAAAACAUGCAAUCCUAGUCAAUUAAGAUUGGAGUAUAUCACACCUGCCACAGGUGUUGACAGGCAAGUGAUUAUGAAGUUUGACUACUAAGACCACAUAGCCACAGAGGCCCACUGAUAGAUUGAAAUCUUUACCAUAUAUAGGGAUUUUCAAUUCUGGUACAUUGUAUUUAAAAAGAUGGUGUGCCAGCAAAGUGCACUAAAAUCAUUUUCAUAAAUGAUAUUUAAUUUAUUUUUAAAUAAAAAGGAAUUUAGAAAAAGGUUUUUAUCUCGUUAAUUCACUUAUUUUCAAAUGCCUUCUAUACAUUUUGUGUCUGUUUAUAAAGGACAUAUCAAAGCAGGAUUUGCAUUUGAUUGACAGUACAAUAAUGUUAAACUGGAGUCUGCAUUGAUUUUUAUCAUCCACCUGGUAUCUAUACUUAAUAGUGUAAUACUUUCCUUCUUGAGGGGCCUUGGUGGCCGAGUGUUCUAAGUAGUUACUACUGUAAUCACUGAGGUUGUGAGUUCGAACCCAGCUCUUGCGGGCACACUUGACUCCAAUCUUAAUUGACUAGGAUUGUCAGCUUUUCUAUCGAAGGUUGUGGUUUUCUAUGGACACUCUGGCUUCCUCCACCAAUAAAAAAUGGCCGCUAGGAGAUAGUCUAAAUGCAGUGCUUAAAAGUGGUAUUAAAACACCAAAAAUUGAAAUCAAAUCCUCCUUGAUUCUCUGGAUGAAGGAAUGAUUCAAAAUAAAACAUGUGUGCACUGUUGUAGUGUCACAGAAUAGAAGUUCCUUCAUAAUAUAAGUUCCAAAAGGAAGAAAUAUUCUGGAAUAUUAUUUCCACAGGAAUAAAUAUUACAGUAUAAGUUCCUAACAGAAUAAAUGGUAUAGAAUAUUUGUUCCAACAGGAAUAGGUAUUAUGACAUUGUUUAUAACAAAGUUUCCAGUGGAACUUCUGUUAGGCGGAACAAAUAUACGUUGACAGUAGAUACUUUUCACUGCGAUUGGCAUAUAGUACUGAUACAAGAGGUAUUGUAGGCACACAAUGAUCGUUUCAAAAAGCAAAAAUUAAAAGAUGUCAAAAUAAAGUUAUUUGUCUUUUUAAAUAGUCAGAAAUACUGAGCAAUAGGGUUUCCACUCAUCAAGGGAAAUAUUGUUUUAGGAAAAUGAAACACUGAAAAGAAAUCUAAUAUCAUAAAGGAAAGAGUGAAAAAAUGUUAACUGAUUUACUUGAAAAAUGAAUUAUUGAAUUUUUUUCUUGCAGAUUAAAACAGAUAAACAGUCAAUAUCCAAAUCAUCAAAACCUGUACUAAUGAUUUCAGACAUUCAGAAGUAAGUAUUAUAGAAGGUCCUCCAUAUACUGUAUCUCCCAUUGUCCAGUUAUGCACUUGUUCUAAAUUUUGAAUUUAAAGAACUUCUAAUCUCAUCAAGGAUAUUUUAUAAUUUGUUCACAAUUUUCUCAUUUCUCAACCGAUUGUGAAUAAAAUUGUUCUCACUAGUGAAAAUCUGUUCUCUGCAAACGAUUGGUCUAUUAGUAAAUUUAAUGAUGAUGUUGAAUUUCUUGGUUUCUUUUGAACUUCCUAUUGUGAAGUCAUGAAAAAAGACUGACAUGUCUGAUGACAUCACAUAUAAAGAACACACACUUCUGCAAAUCUUUGAAAAGGAAGGAUAAAAAUCAUUGGAGAAACAGAUUCCACAACUAUUUCUCAUUUAUUAUGAUAUUUCUCUGCAAGCCUUAAGCUUUAAAUUAUUUAAAAAUAUCAAAAUUUAACUGUCAUGGAGAAAUAUUGUAACAUACUUGAUGCAGUGGUGGAAUCUAUUAUAUCUACCAUACACCAAAUUUGAAAUGACAUAUAAUGUCAGUGUAAGGUCUUCAAUAAUUAUCCAGUGUUUUAAUAUUUUCAGAAAUAACAAUCCUAAAAAGAAUUGUCAAUCGAUGGACUGUGGCGACAGUGAUACAGGUCGUCCUCCUGGUCAGCCUUUACAUCCGGCUUCAGUCACACAUUAUGAUACAGUUCAACCAACUGGACAGUUUUCUCAGCCUGCAGAGGUUGGACACCAGCCUUUUAAUAUCAGACAGAACUUACAUCCAACUGAAAUGGGCCAUAAUCCUACAAAUACAGGACAAGCCUUGUAUCCUGCUGGUAUGGGACAAGGCUUACAUCCUGCAGAAGUCCGACCUCAACCUACUAAUCCAACAGGAAUGGAACAUAAGCUGAUCAGGACAUCAAGUGAUCUGAGACAGCUGUUAGCUACACAAGUCAUUUCAGAAGAAGAUCUACAAAUUUUAAAUUUAAUUGGUAAAGGCAAUGUAGGCUGUGUCUACAGGUAAAUUGAUAUUUAUCACUCAUUGCUGCCUGUAUAAUCUGUUUAUUUUCUUACAGCUCUUGUUAAGUAAAUCUAAAUACUUUAAUUUUUUACAAAUUCCCUUUCUGGUCACUAUAGUCAUAAAACUUUAAACGGUACUCUUGGUACAAAAUUUGAGCUUGAAACCAAAUUCAGUAUAUAUAUAUUUAUGACUGUCUUCAUUCUUUUGAAAAUUGAUCAUAUCUAAGAAAAUGAAUAUACCACACAAAGCAAAAUUAUAAACUAGAACAAUCAGAUCAUAGCAAUUUACAUGAAAUCACCUUGGUGUAAAUUAACCGGCGUUUUACGUUUCUGCAUAAAAAUUCCUACAUUUCCGCAUUUUUAUACGACCGCAAAUUUUGAAAAAAUUUUCGUCGUAUAUUGCUAUCACGUUGGCGUCUGUCGUCGUCGUCGUCGUCUCGUCGUCGUCGUCGGUCCGAAUACUUUUAGUUUUCGCACUCUAACUUUAGUAAAAGUAAAGAAAUCUAUGAAAUUUUAACACAAGGUUUAUGACCAUAAAAGGAAGGUUGGUAUUGAUUUUGGGAGUUUUGGUCCCAACAUUUUAGGAAUAAGGGGCCAAAAAGGGCCCAAAUAAGCAUUUUCUUGGUUUUCGCACCAUAACUUUAGUUUAAGUUAAUAGAAAUCUAUGAAAUUUUGACACAAGGUUUAUGACCACAAAAGAAAGGUUGGGAUUGAUUUUGGAGUUUUGGUUUCAAUAGUUUAGGAAUUAGGGGCCAAUAAAAGGGCCCAAAUAAGCAUUUUCUUGGUUUUUGCACAAUAACUUAGUUAAGUAAAUGAAAUCUAUGAAAUUUAAACACAAGUUUAUGACCACAAAAGGAAGGUUGGUAUUGAUUUUGGGAGUUUAGGACCCAACAGAUUUAGGAAUUAGGGCCAAAAAAGGACCAAAUAAGCAUUUUCUUGGUUUUCGCCCACUAUAACUUUAGUAUAAGUAAAUAGAAAUCUAUGAAAUUUAAACACAAGGUUAUGACCAUAAAAGGAAGGUUGGUAUUGAUUUUGGGAGUUUUGGUCCCAACAGUUUAGGAAAAAGGGGCCCAAAGGGUCCAAAAUUAAACUUUGUUUGAUUUCAUCAAAAUUGAAUAAUUGGGGUUCUUUGAUAUGCCGAAUCUAACUGUAUAUGUAGAUUCUCGACUUUUGGUCCAUUUUUAAAUUGGGUCUACAUUAAGGUCCAAAGGGUCCAAAUUAAACUUAGUUUGAUUUUGACAAAAAAUGAAUCGGUUGGUUCUUUGAUAUGUUGAAUCUAAAAAUGUACUUAGAUUCUUGAUAUUGAAGUUUUUUGGUCCAGUUUUCAAUUGGUCUACAUUAAGGUCCAAAGGGGUCCAAAAUUAAACUUUGUUUGAUUUCAUCAAAAAUUGAAUCCUUGGGGUUCUUUGAUAUGCCAAAUCUAACUGUGUAUGUAGAUUCUUCAUUUUUGGUCCCUGUUUUCAAAUUUCAAAUUCUACAUUAAAGUCCAAAGGGUCCAAAAUUAAACUAAGUUUAUUUUAACAAAAAUUGAAUUCUUGGGCCUCUUUGAUAUGCUGAAUCUAACAUGUACUUAGAUUUUUUGAUUAUGGCCCAGUUUCAAGUUGGUCCAAAUCAGGAUCUAAAAUUAUUAUAUUAAGUAUUGUGCAAUAGCAAGUCUUUUCAAUUGCACAGUAUUGGCAAUGGCAAGAAAUAUCUAAUUGCACAGUAUUGUGCAAUAGCAAGUAUUUUCAAUUGCUCAGUAUUGCGCAAUAAGCAAGAAAUAUCUAAUUGCACAAUAUUUGCAAUAGCAAGAAUUUUUUUAAUUGGAGUUAUCUUUCUUUGUCCAGAAUCAACUUAAAUCUUUGUUAUAUACAAUAUACAAUGUAUAUACACUUUUUACUACCAACUGAUAAAUUUAAAUAAUCUUUACCAUUCAGUGAUAACAAGCAGUUUUUUUACAUCUUAAUAUUUUAUUAUGUAUUUAAAUGAGUAGUUAUUGUUGCAAACUCCAUUAGAAAUUUGAAUUGAUAUCAGUUUUGAAAAAGGGAAACGGGGAUGUGAAAAAAAGGGGGGGGGGGUUAAAUUUUCUCAUUCAGAUUUCAUAAAUAAAAAGAAAAUUUCUUCAAACAUUUUUUGAGAGGAUUAAUAUUCAACAGCAUAGUGAUUUGCUCAAAGGCAAAAAAAACCUUUUAAGUUCAUUAGACCACAUUCAUUCUGUGUCAGAAACCUAUGCUGUGUCAACUAUUUAAUUUUAGAUUUAAAAAGUUUGAAGAAGAAAUCUUUAAUUGAUUUGUAAAAUCUUGGCAUUUGUUUUGUGUAAAAAAAAACCAUGUAAUGUCAAAAAUUUGAUCACAAUCCAAAUUCAGAGCUGUAUCAUGCUUGAAUGUUUCCAUACUUGCCCCAACUGUUCAGGGUUCGACCUCUGCGGUCGUAUAAAGCUGCGCCCUGCGGAGCACCUGGUUGUAGUACUCUUUUCCGCAGUUUUUUACAUUGAUUUUGUUAAAGGUUAUAUACGUUUCCACAUUUUUAUUUUUAAUUUAUGCCUCUUCCGUUUGCCAGGUAAAAACGGGGCAUGUUUUUUGUUCUUCGGUUGUGUUUGGUGUUUAACGCUACUUAAAACACUAUUGGGUUAUUCUGGCAUUAUUAUUCGUCUUAAUAUGUCGCCAAUUAUAAAAAAGAAGAUGUGGUAUGAUUGCCAAUGAAACAACUGUCCACAAGAGACCAAAAUGACACAGACAUUAACAACUAUAGGUCACCGUACAACCUUCAACAAUGAGCAAGGCCCAUACCGCACAGUCAGCUAUAAAAGGCCCCGAUAUGACAAUGUAAAACAAUUCAAAUGAGAAAACAAACGGCCUUAUUUAAAUAAAAAAAUGAACAAAAAACAAAUAUGUAACACAAAAACAAACGACAUCCACUGAAUUACAGGCUCCUGACUUGGGACAGGCACAUACAUAAAUAAUGCCUAUUUUUUCGUUUUUAAUUGUAAAUUGAUUGAUUGUUUGUUUGUUUGUUGCUAUAUUAUUUUUUUUACGCCCAGUUACAAAUAUAUGACCAGAGUUCAAAUCAGUGUGAAGUGGAUGUAAGCAAUCAUAAGCAACCUUCAGACCUUCAACAAUGACAAAACUCGAUACUGUAAAGUCGUCUAGAAAGGCCGGACAUGAAAUGUGUGAACCAAUUCAAACUAAAAAACUAAAUGUCAAAUUAUACAUUACAAAAUAUCAAAUAUGAGUAGAGACAUGAACCAUCAACAACCACUAACUACAGGCUCCUGACUUGGGACAGGCACAGUAAAGAAUAUGACAGGGUUGAUAUAAAAACAAAGAUGUGGUAUGAUGUCAAUGAGACAACUCUGCAUAAGAGACCAAAUCACACAGAGAUUAACAGCUAUAGGUCACUGUUCAGCCUUCAACAAUAAGCAAAGCCCAUACCACAUAGUCAGCUAUAAAAGGCACCAAAAUCACAAAUGUAAACAUGGUUUAACAAAACAAAAGAGAAAAUUUCCAAUAUCAUUGCUUUAUACCAAAGAAAUCUAGUUUUGUUAUUUUAAAUUUGGAUAAACAAGAUGUCCAUUUUGAUUAUAUUCCAGACAAACAUUAAUGAAAUCAAGAAAAAAUACUAUAAUAAAAGAAAGUCUUUUAUAUCAUUAUUACCAUUUUUUACAGGUGAAAUACAGGUAAAAAUGCAGAAAUGUAGUAUCUAUUUUAAAAGGGAGAUAAGUCAUGAUCAAUUUUGUAGACUUAAAUGAAGGGAAAAUUUUAUAAUAAACACUUGAUCAGGAUGUCAUGAAAUGGUAAUGAAAUCAAAAUAGAAACUAAAUUUGUAUUUCAUGAGAGGAAAUUGUUUUGUGCCAUUAUCAUUUAAAGUUUUUUGCUCAAAAUCAUGUCAGUAGUUUUGUCUGUUUUCUGUGUUUUGAUGUCAUAGGUAUGCUUCUUUAUUUCAGAGCAUUACACAAACCUACUCAAGCAAUAAUGGCUGUAAAGGUAAAAUAUAGUAUAUUUUUUAUUGUUGUUGAGUCAUAAUAAGUAAAUUCAGUGGGAUUUUUUUUUAGAUUUAAAUGUGAUAUUUAUUAGUGUAAUUUGAUGAAAUAAUAUCUUUUAUAUAUGUGUGAUGAACUGCCUGAAAUUAAUAUGAACUUUACUCAAAGGAAAGGAAAUUUCUGACUUAAGUAUGGAUUCAAAAUGAAAAACAUGUGUAAAUGAAAGACUUCACAAAUAUUACAUGUUCCUACCUUACAUAAGUCAUAUAUGUAAAUGAUAUAUUUGUAUAGAAGCAUUCCUUCCCUACAUCUGUUCUUGUUUUGAAGUGGAUAGUAUUGUUUUUAAGAUUUUCUUUACAUUUUUUUCAUAUUUAUGUUUCUAGGUAAUGCUGCUUGAUGUAUCAACAGAAGAACAAAGUAGUAUAUUGUCUGAAUUAGAUAUUUUAAAUAAAGUAAGUAGUUAGUAAGAUCAGAGUAAACAAACCAUGAUUGAAGUAUUUUUUUUUUACUGAAGACAUGUAAGAUAAAGCAAUAUGCUACUAAGAAGUUUAGUACAUAUGGAUAUGAACUUUACAGAUAUUGACCAGAGCUUCACAAUAUUUUUACAAUAUGUAACGAAGAUAACUAUCAAUCUUCUCCAGAAAACUUAUCUUGUGAAAAUGAUGUCAAAUCAGUCACUUUGGAGAAUAAGUCUAAAUAUUAAUUUAUUUUAGACUUUAAUUUGAUGAAGUUGUUUGCAGUGGCAGAUUUAGAGGGUUUUUCAGGGGCCCCCCCUUUUUCUGAGAAAAAUCUGGUUGGUUAUAUAGGGAAUCACUAAAGCAUGACUGGAACGGGCCCCCUCUUAGGCAGUCAGUGGGCCCCCACUUAUGAAAAUUUCUGGAUACGCCACUGGUUUGUCCUUCAAAAUUUUACAAAUUACUUGCAAACACUUUUUAUGAAACAAGGAGAUGUGGUAAUGAUUGCCAAUAAGAAAACUAUUUAUAUCCACCAUAAUUCGAAUGACUUGGAUGUAAGCAUUUAUAGAUCACUGUACAGCCUUCAUCAAUGAGUAAAACCCUUAUCAAACUGUUUUUGUUUGUUUACACAAUGUCUAUGAUGUCCAAAAUAUCUGACUGAAAAAGGUUCAAGUUUGAGAGGGAAUAAAAACAAACAAGCUGGUUUAUUCAUCCUGAUUUCAUAUAUAAUUAUAUCCAUUUCUUUCUGUUUCAGUGUAAUUCCCCUGUGAUAAUUGGCUUUUAUAAAGCUUUCUUUGUUGAAAACAGAAUUUCUAUUUGUACAGAAUUUAUGGAUGGUAUGUAUAUUAGAAGAACUAUAACAUUCACAAUUUAUUUUUUUAUAUACAGGCAUUAGUCUUUGAUUUUAUGGUCUGACAUUGCCUAACUGGCAAUGAAAAAUUCCCUGGACUGCACAGAUAUAUUUCUUUUUACUUUUAAUUUCAAAAUCAGAUAGCUAUUCUUUGUAUUACCAAUAUACUGCUAUUUGGGAAUUUGAAUAACAUAUUUUGAUGUGACAUCUUGUAGUUUUGGUACAGAAUUCUUUUAUAUGUCAUAUUAUGGAUUUAUAUAGAAAAAUGAAUUGAUUCCUGUGCAUAUAUUAGGGAACUUUUACAAUAUGUUUUAUUUUUUCAGGUGGAUCUUUAGAUAAGUAUGGUCUGAUUCCUGAGCAUAUAUUAGGGAGAAUGGCUGUAUCUAUGGUAGAAGGUUUAUGUUACAUGUGGGCUUUAAAAAUUCUACACAGAGGUAACUAAUGUAAUGAUAGAGAAUAGUUGUUGCUUAUUGUAUAUCUCCCUGUCUGAUUUAUAAGAGGUAUGGGUUGAAUGAUUUAUUGGACAACAAACCUUGCAUUACAAGGUCAUCAAAUAUAAACAUCUACAAGUAACAAGUUGGUACUUAUGGAUAGUUGAACAUUGAUGUUCAAUGACAAGCUCUUAAUCAUCCUUAUUCAAAAGUUACAGAGGAAUUCAAUAGAUAUGUAAAUUAUCUAAUACAAACUCUAACAAGUUCUUAGAGGCAUAAUGUCAACUACUUAUUAAAUUCCUGACUUGAAUAUAAAAAAGAAGAUGUGGUAUGAUUGUCGAUGAGACAACUCUCCCUAAGAGAUAAAUGACACAGAAAUAAACAACUAUAGGUCACUGUAUAGCCUUCACAAUGAGCAAACCCCAUUCUACAUAGUCACCUAUAAAAGGAUAGGAAAUGAUAAACUAAAACAAUUCAAACGAGAAAACUAACUGCUUAAUUAAUGUACAAAAAAAAUAAACGAAAAAAUUAUGCAACACAGCAACAAACAACAAGCACUGAAUUACAGGCUCCUGAAUUGGGACAGGCUCCUGACUUGGGACAGGCUCAUACAUAUGAUUCUGGAUGUUGCGGGGUUAAACUAUCCCCCAAAUUUUGGACAGUGUUGUAACAGAACAAUAUAAGAACUAACUAUAAAGAUCAGUUGAAAAAGGCUUAACUCAUCAGAUGGAUACAAAUAGAAAUACAUCUAACUAAAACACAAAGCAGGCACAUAUUUUGGAACACAGUAAAUCUGCCUGAUUUUAACUCAAGUAUGGUAUGGAUUUAGUUUAAUAGGUACCUACUGGCCACAUAACAGGAGUCAAUAAAGAUAUUAUUGUAUUGAAAAUUUCUAUCAAAAUUGUGUAAAUUAUUCCAAUCAAUACUAAUUUAAUAUGUUAAAAUGAACUAUUAAUUCUUCACAGUUCUAUUAAAUCUUCUGUUUGAUAUAUGAUAAAUGAUUAAAUGGGUGUGUUUGUUUUACACUACAGAUAUAAAACCUUCAAAUGUUCUAGUCAAUACCCAGGGUCAGGUCAAACUUUGUGAUUUUGGUGUCAGUGUGCAGGUAAUUAUUCUAAACUAAUUGAAAUAUGAUAUGAGAGAACAACAAAACAACACAUGAUGAGACCAAAUAAGGAAUGUAUUUUUAAAAUUACAAUUCAAAAGAUAAAAAAACGCAUGUUCAUUAUAACGGGACUGUUUAAUUUUUGGCGAAUUAAGGUUUUGAGUCAGACUCUGCUGUUCCCUGAACAUGAAAAUGGGAUAGUGCUGAUGGGGCCUGCAUGAUGUCUAAGGAUAAAAGUAGAACGAUAGUAUUCACAUAAUUUUUUUUAGCUUUUUUGCUCACCUGGCCUGUCACUUGGCGUCCGUCGUCUGUCAUCGUCCGUCGUCCUGCGUCUGUCGUCGUUAACUUUUACAAAAAUCUUCUCCUCUGAAACUGCUGGGCCAAAUUUAACCAAAUAUGGCCAAAAUCAUAAUUAGGGUAUUUAGUUUAAAAUUGUGUCCGGUGACCCGGCCAACCAACCAAGAUGGCUGCCAUGGCUAAAAAUAGAACAUAGGGGUAAAAUGCAGUUUUUGGCUUAUAACUCAAAAACCAAAGCAAUUAGAGCAAAUCUGACGGGGUAAAAUUGUUUAUUAGGUCAAGUCUAACUGCCCUGAAAUUUUCAGAUGAAUCGGACAACCCGUUGUUAGGUUGCUGCCCUGAAUUGGUAAUUUUAAGGAAAUUUUUGCUAUUUUUGGUUAUUUUCUUGAAUAUUAUUAUAGAUAGAGAUAAACUGUAAAUAUAAAAAAUGUUCAGCAAAGUAAGAUUUACAAAUAAGUAUACAGGUCCAAAAUGGUCAGUUGACCCCUUUAGGAGUUAUUGCCCUUUAUAGUCAAUUUUUAACCAUUUUUCGUAAAUCUUAGUUAUCUUUUUACAAAAUCUUCUCCUCUGAAACUACUGGGCCAAAUAAAAUUAAACUUGGCCACAAUCAUCAUUGGGGUAUUUAGUUUAAAAAUUGUGUCCAGUGACCAACCAAGAUGGCUGCCAUGGCUAAAAAUAGAACAUAGGGGUAAAAUGCAGUUUUGGGCUUAUAACUUAAAAACCAAAGCAUUUAGAGCAAAUCUGACAGAGGAAGAAAUUGUUUAUCAAGUCCAGAUCUAUCUGCUCUAAAAUUUUCAGAUGAAUUGGACAACUGGUUGUUAGGUUGCUGCCCCUGAAUUGGUAAUUUUAAGGAAAUUUUGCUGUUUUUGGUUAUUAUCUUGAAUACUAUUAUAGAUAGAGAUAACCUGUAAACAGCAAAUAAUGUUCAGAAAAGUAAGAUUUACAAAUAAGUCAACAUGACUGAAAUGGUCAAUUGACCCCUAAGGAGUUAUUGUCCUUUAUAGUCAAUUUUUAAAAAUUUUCAUAAAAUUUAUAAAUUUUUACUAACAUUUUCCACUGAAACUACUUGGCCAAGUUCAUUAUAGAUAGAGAUAAUUGUAAGCAGCAAGAAUGUUCAGUAAAGUAAGAUGUACAAACACAUCACCAUCACCAAAACACAAUUUUGUCAUGAAUCUAUCUGCGUCCUUUGUUUAAUAUUCACAUAUACCAAGGUGAGCGACACAGGCUCUUUAGAGCCUCUAGUUUGGUUAUUAUCUACAAUACUUUUAUAGAUAGAGAUAAACUGUAAACAGCAAUAAUGUUCAGCAAAGUAAGAUCCAAUAAUAAGUCAAUGUGACCACAAUGGUCAGUUGACCCCUUAAGAAGUUAUUGCCCUUUAUAGUCAAUUUUUAACUUUUUUCAUUAAUUUGGUAAAUUUUUGUAAAUUUUUACAUAACAUUUUCCUCUGUAUCUAAAGGGCCAAGUCUAUAUAGAUAGAAAAAUUGUAAGAAACAAGAAUGUUCAGUAAAGUAAGAUCUACAAACACAUCACCAUCAUCAAAACAGAAUUUUGUCAUGAAUUUAUCUGCGUCCUUUGUUUAACAUUCACAUAGACCAAGGUGAGCGACACAGGCUCUUUAGAGCCUCUAGUUUUAAAACAUAUUCUAAAUACUCUGAUUAACUGUCAUGAAAAGUUAAAUGCUUAUUUGUGGACCUCCUUAUAUUCUUGUAUAACAUAACCUUUAAACAUAAGCUUUUCAAACAAUUAAGAUUACAGACUUUUGAAUUGGUAUUUGGCUAACAUCUAAGAGAUAUUGCAAAGACUUGUUAGUUUUGAAACAGAAAACUGUUUCUGUGUAAGCUUAGAUGUCUUCCUGCAAACUAUUAUUUUUUUUUAAUACCUUGUGAAACAAAACAUCAAAAAAAGGCAUCUCAGCUUGUCAGUCUAGUACAAGUCAGGGUAUAUUCAUACUGCAUUUACAUGUUAUUGAGUUAAAUAUGCAUGUAAUAUUUUAAUUAGAACCACAGGCGGCCAUCAAACAAUCAUUUUUUUUUAAUUUUUGUCUGAACAAAUACAUCUAGUAUCUAUUUGAUAAAAACUUUAUUGUCCAGUAACAUUAUAAAGUAAUAUUUAAAAGAGAUAUAAUAUUCAUUGAUAUGUUUUGUAAUUUCAGCUUGUAAAGUCAAUAGCUAAAACCUAUAUAGGAACCAAUGCAUAUAUGGCUGUAAGUUUAUUUGAGAAGAUAUCUGACACUAAAAAUCAAACGUGUAUUGAAUACUAUUUAACAUUCAAAAAUGAAACUGGUUUGAAAAUUCAUGAAAUAUCUAUUUUUAUACGACCGCAAAGUUUUUCCGGUUGUAUAUUGGUAUGACGUUUGCUUUGGCGUCGUCGUCGUCGUCUGAAGAUAUUUGGUUUUCGCACUAUAACUUUAGUAUAAGCAAAUAGAAAUCUAUGAAAUUUACACACAAGGUUUAUGACAACAAAAGGAAGUUGGGAUUGAUUUCGGGAGUUUUGGUCCAACAGUUUAGAAUUAGGGGCCAAAAGGGUCCAAAAUUAAACUUUGUUUGAUUUCAUCAAAAAUUGAACUAUGGGGGUUCUUUGAUAUGUUGAAUCUAACCAUGUAUUGAGAUUCUUAAUUUUUGGUCCCGUUUUCAAAUUGGUCUACAUUAAGGUCCAAAGGGUCCAAAAUUAAACUUAGUUUGAUUUUAACAAAAAUUGAAUUCUUGGGGUUCUUUGAUAUGCUGAAUCUAAACAUGUACUUAUUUUUUUUUAUUAUGGGCCCAGUUUUCAAGUUGGUCAAAAUUGGGGUCCAAAAUUGAACUUUGUUUGAUUUCAACAAAAAUUGAAUAUAUGGGGUUCUGCGAUAUGCUGAAUCUAACCAUGUAUUUAGAUUUAUGGUAUUUGGGCUUGGUUAUCAAAUUGGUCCACAGUGAGGUCUGUAGGGUCCAAAAUAAAACUUUAUUUGAUUUCAUCAAAAAUUGAAUUCUUGGGGUUCUUUGAUAUGUUGAAUCUUACCAUGUAUUUAGAUUUUGGAUAUUGGAAUACCACAAAGGGAUGGUAAGAAUUGUCUUUGGGAGUUAUGGCUCAAACCGUUAAGGAAUAAGGUGCAAAAAAAGGGGGGAAAGGGUUUCCAGGUUAAUGGACAAUUACUUAAGUUCAAAACAUGAUUUAAAAGCAAUGUAAGGUUGGUAAUUGAAACUUAUUUGAAUAUCUCUUCUAAACUGCUUUGAAAUUAUGUUUAUUGGAAAUUUGCCAAAAACUUUAUAUUAAUGAAUUCAAUUGGAAAUUUCCUAGUUUAAUGAACUUCAUUGGAAAUUUGCCAAUAUAAAAUGUUGCUGAUGAAGCUUUUUUUGUUUAUCUCACCUAAACUGCUUUUAAAUUAUGUAUUUUGGAAAUUUGCCAAUAACUUUAGUUUAAUCAACUUCAUUGGAAAUUUGCCAAUAUAAAAUGUUGCUGAUAAAGCUUUUUUGUUUAUUUUUAGCCAUGAUUAUUAUUCUUUGAAAAUUGGAGUUAUCUUUCUUUGUCCAGAAUAGUAGUUGAAUCAACUUAAAUCAAUGCUAUAUACAAUGUACAAUGCAAUAUUUACUUUUACUACCAACUGAUAAAUUAAAACAAUCUUUGCCAUUCAUUGAUUACAAGCACUUUGAUUACCAUUCUAAAGUUAUGCCCCUUUACAAGUGGAAAAAUUGAAGAUUUUUUUCGUUUCUGUUCUCUUAAGGGCAUAUCCAACAGUUUAUUUUUGACGGUGAGAAUUUUUUCCCUUGAAGAUAUUUCAUUCUUCAAUUGACAGAGAAUCAAAUUUUCCCAAAAAAAAUAUUAGUCGUCGAUUUUGUUUUUUCAAAAAAUACUGCUGAAAAUUGAACAUUUUUGCAAUUUUGGAGUAAAAAACAUUUUUUAUUUAGAAAAAUUAAAUAUGAUUUUUUAAUCAACAUAUACUUUUAUAAUGGGGCACAAAUUAAAGCAAAAUAAUUCAAGAUGGUUAGAAAAAUCUAACUUUACCAUUUAAAGCAUUAAUUCUUACUCAAAAUAAAGCCAAAACGUUAUGAUGGACCCAAACAACGGCAAGAAAUGAACAUUUGAAAUGCACAUUUUUAAUUUAUUCAAAUAUUUCUAACGGUGUCGAUUUGACCAAAGUAAGAUAUGUUAUUCUUUGAAAAAAAUGGAAUGUAACAACGUUUUGAAAAAUAUUUGUCACCGUACUCGUUUUUGAGAAAAAUCGAGAAAUAUGAUAUUGUUUACUAAAUCCCUUCCGUAAGCCUCACAAAUUGCGCCAAAAAUGAAGACAUGUUUCGGGAAAUAACGUUAUAUUUCCCCGCUAAUUUUUCAAACGCAGUGCGACGGCAGACAAAUGUAUUUAUACACUGUGACUUUGUUGGAUAGUUGUCUCGAUAGCACUCAUAUCUCAUAUCGCAUCUUCUUAUUUAUAAUGAACUAGUAUAUGGACGAGAUAACAAUUCAGUUAGUUUUACAAUUAAGUGUUUUUCUUACACUGAUUUAUAUUACACCGUCUAUAAUUUAACAUAUCGAAAUUAAUAAAGAGCUAGUGAAAUUUUGCAACCAAACACUUGUCUAAAAACUCACUGACUCUGUAUUAUUUUUUCAUGUUGCAGUUUUGGGCUUUUUAUUCUUUAUAGGUUUCUAGCUUUAACAAAAAUAUGUAUGUUGACUCUUAGUGUUUUGAAUUAUAUGUGUCGUUCGGUUGCUGUCGUAUUAAUGUAUAUACAUUUAAAAUAUUUUUCAAAACAAAAGGAUUGAUUGGACAGGAUAUAGAAAUAUUCACAUCUCUGGACUUCUCGCGUCCGACAGUAUAUCUUUGCUAUAUUUGGGUGCGGCCGUUCAGCGGCUCGGAUGUAUAAAUUUACAGUCUCGUUUAGUCGAAAUAAAAAUGUCGUAUAUCCUAUGCAUAGUGUAGUGAGAGAUUCGCGCAUCUAUACGUUUAAAAACCAUCUAAAUAAAUGGUUCAAGGGAUAUCCGAUUUUUGAAUAAGAUCUCUUAACAACAACAAAUGUCACAUGAAUCUUCAAAUAAGUCACAUGGCUGAUUUUAACACAUCUGUUGCGCCAUUUGCAGUUGUAGAUGUCAUGAAAAACCCUUUAAUUUACAAAACAGAUCAGAAAGACAAUAACUUGAGAAUAAACUCCACCUAGUUUGGCUGCAUACAAUGUAACCACUGAUGUAGACUACUAUAUAACUAUAUAUUUAUUAUUGAUUAUUCAAACAAAUAAAUUCAAAGAGAAAGAUGCGGAAAGAAAUUCUAAAAUUUUCGUUUAAAAAUAAAAUAUAGAUAAUAUUUUUUUUACCAAAACUGGAAACACUGUUUAAGACAAUUAUCAGUUGAGAACUAAUGAUUAUGCAUCACUAUAUCACAACUAUAUGCAACUAAUAAAUUGAUUGCUCCCGUGCUCCAGUGGCAAAUAUAUCACGCAUAUUUACGACGAGGCGAAAGUGGAUCUGAAUAAAUGAUUGAUACAUUAUUAAGAUAAAGGGUUUGCUAGCGGUAAAACGUAUGCCGUACUAGAAUAAAGUUUAGUGAAAAAUGAUCUAAAAUUUUGGAUUAUGAUAUUUCGAUGGCUGUUUUUUUUCCUAUCCUAUUAUGGAACGCUGGGUUUUAAGAGGGGGUUGGUAAUAAGUCAAGACUUACAUCAAGACUUACACCGUUUUUUGUUUGUUUGUUAAAUUAUAUUUAUUUCCUCAUACAUAAGUAAACACUAAAAUCGUCAGAUAUUUUUUACUUGUUUGUCAGUGUAUAUAUUACAAUGUUUUCCUAUUUCAUUUUUUUUACGGUGUCGUUUUUCAUUUAAAGAGUUUCUGUAUAUUAGCACCUCAACGCAAAGCUAGAUGCUAGAUACAAUGAUAUAUGUUAGUUUAUGUCGUAUUUUAUUUUUCUCAAGAGACCAAUUUUUUUAAUCUUUCUCAAGUCAAAUCAAACUUUGAGUUUUCUAUCCUGAAUGACAAAAUCUCGGAUAAGUUUGAUAAAGAAUUAAUUACAAUUUGUGUUGCAUUCUAACGUUGUUCUCUACUGUACUGUAUAUUGAAGAUAAUUUUAAUAAAACGGAAACUUAAGUGAGUAUGGUCUAUAAUUAUAAAGAUGAAUUCUUUUAUAAUGGACCAAGAGGACAACAUCUUUUAAGAUUUUACUUCUAUUUCUGUUAAUAUUCUGUAUGAGUUUUCCGUUCCGCCGUGCCCUUUUCCUUUGAGGAAAAAAAACGCCCUUGCCAGGCGGAAAACAUAGCUAAUGGUGAUUCGUUAUGACGUCGUUGAAACAACGUUAAAUUACGGGAAACAAUAGACGAACGUUCGUUUGUUUUACCUCCCUGAAACUGUUGGAUAUGCCUUAACUUAAGUUUGUCUCAACUAAAUUAAGAAUGUUUAUAUAAUUCUUAGUACUCUUAACUCAGUUCAAGUCAAUUUUUUGGCAGGUUCACUUUUACAGUUCUUGAGUUAUAUCUUUUUAACAUUAUAGCGCGGGGCAUCAUCUGUGUCUUUGGACACAUUCCCAUGUUUUUUUUUAGAAGUUAAUAUUAAUUAAAUUAAUUUAAAUGAAUUUACUUUUUUUAAUAUUUAUGAUGUAUUUAAAUGAGUAGUUAUGUUGCAACUCCAUUAGAAAUUUGAAUUGAGAUCAUUUUUGGAAUAAGGGAAAGUGGGAGAUGAAAAAAAUUGGGGGGUGUUCAAUUUUUCAGAUUUCAGAAAUAAAAAGAAAAUUUCUUCUAACGUUUUUUUUUUGUAAGGAUUAAUAUCUAAACAGCAAAGUGAAUUGCUCAAAAGCAAAAAAAAAUGUCUAAGUUUAUUUCCACAUUCAUUCUGUGUCAGAACUAUGCUGUUCAACUAUUUAAUCACAAUCCAAAUUCAGAGCACUGUGGUCAUAUAAAUUUGCGCCCUGCAGAGCAUCUGGUUACCUUUGAUGUUAAUUUUAGAUAAUUUCCCAUAUUGAAACAUCACCUAUUUCUGUUUUAUGUUAUUUGGAAACAGCAGGACUUGUCUUCCCUUGAAGACUUAAACACAUUUAUAUCUUGCAUACUGAUGGCAAUUGUUAGAGUUGACAAUUAAGAAGAAAGUGCAUUUUUGGACUUGUGACUGUGCCAUCAUUAAAGUGACAUUAAAAAGAAGAAAAAAAAGACUAAUUCCUAGAAAAUAUUUGAUAAUCAAAAAAGAGCUAAUGCAUUGCUCAAAAUAUAAUUUGCCAGUGAAUAGAUUAAUUUGAGAUGCAAUUGUGUAUAAACCUUUUUUGAGUUGUGCAUAAUUUUAUUACAAUGUAUCAAGUAGUUAGAGUUUACAAAAUGUUUUGCCUUCCACUGAAUUUUCCUCUUAUUAAUUGACUGUAUUAGGUACCUAUGAAAAAUGCAUAUUGUAAACCAAAACUGCAAAGUUUUAUGAAUGUUCAUAAAUUUGACAUUUGAUUGUAAUAAUUAGAGAUAGUUUAAAAAGCCUUUAAUUUAAGGGCAAAUUUGGCUCCAAAUUGUACCUUCACCUUUAUCUGUAUGGUUUAAUAUCAAUGUACUUUUAGCCAGAGAGAAUAAGAGGAGAGGUAUAUAGCCAUCCUGCAGAAGUAUGGAGCUUUGGUAUAACUUUGUUUGAGGUAUGUGCUAGUAAAAAGUAGCUUUGGUAUAUUAUUUUUUCCUUAAAUAUUAAAAGACAGACCAUUAUAAAGAAUCAGUAAUGGUGAAAAAUUGGUCUCUCAACCACUCAAAAUAUUGUCAUCUAACAUGGGCAUAACUAAAAUUGAGACUGGAAAUGGCAAAUGUGUCAAAGAGACACCAACCAGACCAAAUAGUAAAAAAAAACAGCAGAAGAAAAUCAAUGGGUCUUCAACACAGCGAGAAAGUCCUGUAUAUAUUUAAUUAUAGAAAUGUGUAAUUAUUUACUCUUAAUGACAUAUUUUGCUUUUAAUACUUCCCAAUUUUUACAGAAAUUUUAGUAUUGAGUUGUUGUUAUUUUAUUUAGAAUUUAUAUCUUUUUGCAGCUUGUUCAAGGAAGAUUUCCAUAUGACAAUGUAAGGGUUGAGUAUAUUUAGAUAGUAUCUAAGAUAAUAAAUCAUAAUUAAAGAGUCAGAGAGAGAAUUAAACUAAAAUACAUACUACUGAUCCUGAAUAUAAUCAGAAGCUAUCUAUCCAUGUUCAUCCAACAUCAUGUUGUUUUGCUGACUCCCAGAAUCAUAAUUGAAAACUUCUACAGUGAUUGAAUGAGCAUUCAAACUUGGAUUUAACAAUAUUUAUUAGAUAGAUUAAAUAUUAUCGCUAUUUUGUGCUUUUUUCCUUUGAUCUUUUUUUGUGAUAAUUUUCAUAUCAUUCUACUCGCUUGAGAUGGAAAAUUAUCGCUAGAAACUAAGCAUGCAUGUGGCGUUGCUACGUGGCAUUGCUAUCGAAAUUGACAAGAAAUUGAUAUGAAAUUGACAACGUUGUCAUAGGUAAAAUAGUGAUAAAAAGAUUAUCAUUGUUCAUCUCAACUCGAUUGCCUUUCUCGGUUUCGCCGUCCCGGCUCAAGCGAGAAAAGCAAUCUCGUUGAGAUGAUCACCGAUAAUCUAUAAAUAUCUAUAAUACUAGAAUAACAAGGAUCCAAAAACAAACAGCAUUGCUCAUUUUAAUCAGUCUAAAAAAAAGAUCAGACAUUUAUUUGUUGAAAUAUAGAUUUGAUUGUUUGGAAAAAAAUAUUCAAUUUGAAUCUUCAUUUUCAACAUUCUCUUUGUGUAAAAUUAGUGGGAGACUAAAUAAUAAACCCAUUUCACUGUAAUUUUAGAAAGUGGGAUGAUUAUAAAGAGGCAGUUAAGCUAGGGCCUGCUCAAAUAUGAGACAGGGAAUUUGAAGGGGACACUUGUGAUGUUGAAUACUUGUCAUUUUGAUAAUAAGAUUAACUUUAGUUUCUAAAUGUGAAUAUCAAGAGCUGUCUGUAUAAUUUAAUAGGUUGUAAAUUAUUUCUCUAAAUUUAUAUUUUAAUUCAUUUAUAAAACCUUAAAUUCUGUUUCAGAUGGCUGUCUACAAUUCAGUAAGUAUUUUUCUUUUUCUUUCACUUUUGAAAGUAACAGUUGAAUGGGUAGUUUCUUUUAAUUUAGCUUUAAAGAAUAAAGAUGUGUGCAAUAUGCAUUUAAUAUAUGUUAUUCUAAUUUAAAGGCAAUGAAGUGUUGAGCUUGAAUAUCAGUUUGUGAUUGUUUUAUUUAAAAAUUUCUACGAUUAAUUUCACAAGACUGCCUUUACAAUACUCUGCAUUAAAUAUGAAUGAACAGUUGUGUUUUCAUCUUACUUCUUAUCACAUUGCAUAGUUCUUUCAAUAUUUUUCAGUAAAAAGCAAUAAUAUUUUGUGAUAAAUCUUCUUAUUUUCAGCCUAUGGCAUUACUAAACAGAAUAACUAGUGAAGUAAGUACAAAAUGUACAUUUCCUACUUUUUAUUUGUCCUAAUUAUACCCCUUUUUUGGACAAAGAAUGCAUUCAGGUUUACCCUUGUCCGUUUGUACAUACCUUAAUACCUUUCUGAAAUUUUUGUUUCUGUUUUCUAUGUUAAGUUUGCCUCAACCAAAUGUUAUGAAUCUUAUUUACAAUGCUUAAUACCAUUUUACAUCGAUCACAUUCAAAUUUUGGUGGUUUUACUUUUACCGUAAUUGAGUUAUAUGUUCCUUUCUAAAUACCAAAAAUGCUGAAUUUGAUGUUUCAACUCUCCAACUUUACUAGCCUCAACCAAAUGGUAUUAAACUCAAUGCUUAUCACCACCUAAGACAAAUUAAAACAAUGAUUUUAGUCAUUAUCAAUGAAAUAGCAUAGAAUUCUUUUAAAGAUCUUUCACAUAAAAUUACAGUUCUUCUGCAGGAAGCAACAUAAAGGCCUGCAAUAAAAUUGUUAUUUUUAAAUGGAUGGUGAUUUCUUUGUAAAACUUUGUGUUGUGAAACAUCAUUGCUUGGUCAGAUGGACAAAAUGUUGAUAUGCUAUUUCUUUAUUUCAAUCUCAAAAUGAUUUCUACAAUACUUUGACUUUCAGGAAUCCUAAAUGCUCAUGAUGUUUUAAAAAGGCUGUGAUCAUUUCUAUAUAAUUGCCUAACACAAACUAAGCAAUGUUUAGUCUAACAUAACUUUGUGAUUUUUUAAGACAAUGAUAUUUUUUUUCAGCCAACUCCAAGACUUCCUGAAAAUGAAUAUUCACCUGAUUUCAUUGAUUUUGUAUCAAGAUGGUAAGUUUAAAGCAUGAUAUUUGUAUUUUUAUUUUAUUGUUGGAGGCCAUUUAAAAAUAUUAGCAACCUUUUCUAAAAAUAGAAACCUGAGUUAUCAAGUCAUAACUUGUUAAGAUCAGUCAUUUAAUUCUUGGAUAUUCCAAAACACAUUAAUGGUGACUUAUAAUUCAGGUUUGUCCAAUUUUUGUGUUUACAACUCUGUCGCAAUAAUAAAGACCUUGCAAUAAUUUCUGAAUAUACAUUAUUUAAGUUACUUGUUUAUUAUUAAGGUUGCUGUUUCAUUGCAGUGUUCCAAACAUUUCCAUUUUCAUGAUUAUCACAUAUGUCAAAAAUUGAACUUAAGGGGGCUCACAGGUGUAAAUAUUUUUUUUUUUUUUUUAAAUAUAGGAUUUAGGUAUAUUUUUCUAUAAAUGAACUUUAUCAUAUACUUAAUAGAAAAAUGAAAUAAAAAAUGGGGUCACCGUUCAUUUAAGGUCACAAUCUGCCUCCAAAGAAGCAUACAUUUUGUUAAUGUCCUUUUUUUCUGUUGAACUAAUAGGAGAAAUAGAGGUAAUAUCGAAAUAAAAAAAGAACUAAAUUAGAACAAUCGCUUAAGCUUUACAAUUAUUUAGUUUAUGUAAAGCUUAUUAGGAAAUAACAAUAAAAAAUAUAAGUCAUUGAUGAGUUUACAAACAUAUUUCAAUUUUAAUGCCAAAAAUGGCAUUUUUGCACCAAAGGGAGGUAAUUUGGAGCUUUUUCAAUGAUAUAAACAUUUUAAAAGUUAUCUGGGGCCAAACCGAAUAAUUUUUUGUUGUUGAUUAAUGUACCAUAUCAUAAAGCAAUAAUUAAUAUUAUUGUAUAGCAAUAUAAUAUUUCCCACAGAAAGUAACCAAAAGUUAGCGUGCAAUAAAUUCUAAUAUUGCACUAGUGCAAUAAAUCUUCAAAAUUUAUGACGUCAUCAACGACAAAUUCUUAGUUUAAACCAAUUUUUACUUUUAAAUAUUAUAUUGCUAUACAAUAAAAGGGUUAUUGCAUGAAUAUUGGGGAAUAUUGUCCCUCAUAGAACAUAUAUUGCACUCGCAAGCUCGUGCAAUAUAAAAUUCUACUCGGGACAAUAUUCCCCAAUAUUCAUGCAAUAACCCUAUAGUAUUAUAGAUAAAAUUUGUAAUGAAAAAACAAAUGUUUAAUUUUUUGCUGAAAUUUUUGUACCUGCCAGCCUCCUUAAACAUAACACAACAAAAACCAUGGGAUAUAUGAUAAAAGAAUCAAUAUAAAUUUUGUAGGGAUGAAGAUACUGUCACUGUAAGCGAUUAGAGAUUACAUCUUGCAUAUAUCGUUGAUUUAUAUAACAGUAUUCAAUAUAUACUGAUGCUGGUACCCUAAAUGAAGAAAAUCUAUGAAAUCCAGGGGUGGAUUCAGCUCAUUUUAAAAAGGGGGUUCCAACAUAUGUCCCUAUUCAAAUGCAUUGAUCGACUAAAAAAGGGAGGUUCAAACCCCUAGAACCCCCUUCUAGAUCUGCCACUGAAAUAAUAAAAAUUGUGAUGGUAGGGGUGAUUUGAUUAGGCAGGAAAAAAAACUAUCAAAAAUGUUGGUCCCAAUCAAUUAACUACUCUGGUUCAAAAUGAGUAAUUUUUUGUUUUAUUUUUCAAACAGUAUGCAGCCAAUUCCAAGUCACAGAUUAAAAAUGGAAGAAUUGUCUGUAAGUAUUGACCAUAUUGUAUUUUAGUAAUCAAUCAGGGAUCUCCAUGGAUGAAAAUUGAAUGAUGGAGGAAUUUUCACCAUUACAAACCGUGUCUACGCUGUACAGUGUAGCGCAAUCGGAAGUAUUUUUUCCCUCCAUACAAGGAAUGGUGAACAUGCUAAAUCAUUGCUUAUUUAAAUUAUUUUUAUUUGAAUUUUCUUUAUAGAAUUAGAAGUAUCAAUAUUUUCAUUUAUUGCCGUUUUUAACCAUUCAAAUGCCAAGUCUUCAUGGUCCCCCUUAGUCGAGAAUGACCAAAAGAUGUCAUGAAGGCCCCCAUGUAGAUUUCUUGUAUUUUUGGUAAUUAUUAUGGGGGUUAAAAAUCAUAUGAUGUGGAGCUUAUUUUUCAUGGACACUGUCAAAUUCAGAACCCAUUACCGGUAUGGUUGAUUUGCAGCAACAACAAAACGAUUCGUACGGGUUAUGUAAAAGGUUAAAGAGAUUUGUAAAGCAAACGUUGACAAAUGAAAAGGGUUUUAAUGACUUUAUAUGGCAAAUUGAUGCUGUGCAACAUGCACCUUUCGAGUCUGAAUAGAAACCGGAAACUCGGAUGUAUCUAUUUGAUUGUAAUAUAUGAAAUGAAUUCGGAAUUACGAUACGAUAUUUCUUUACAGGAAAUAUUUAAAGUUUUUACUUUUAAACUUUUAAAGUAAUUCUAAAUUAUCGUUACAGCAGUACUCGAGUUAUUUGCGAUGAAAUAAUAAUUACUGUUUUGCGUCUUAUUUUGUACUUCUUAAAAAAGGGGGUUGCUGAUUGCGUAAGUCAAAAUGAACCACGUGUUCGACUUGUUAAACUGUUUUCUUUGUAACUGGAUCAUUAAUUUAUUUAUUUAAUCUAAAUUAUCAUAAUCAUUUGCUGAAACUUAGUUGAUUAAUUCGACAAAUGGAUCGUCUAUCCUCAGAUAGUAUUCUCCUGUCUGGUUUGUUGAUCUACCUGUACAUGCUCAGGUACAAGUGAUUAGCGAUCUUAAUCCGGAUAUCCCUCAGGCGUUAGAACUGUAUUGGAUUAUAACAUAAAAAGCCUAAGGGUUAUGCAAUUACAUGCAUUUGAUUAUAAUUGAUAAAAAAAAAAUGGCGUCGGGCUGCAAAAAACGAUGAAGUUUUGAACAAUGGCGGAAGACAAUUUAACGAUGGAGCAAGACAAUUUAACGAUGGCGCGAGUCAUUUGACGAUGGCGCAAGACAUUUGAACGAUGGCGGGGCGCCAUCGUUAAACAGGCCAUGGAGAUCCCUGAAUCAAUAUUGGGGAAAUUGUAUUAUCUGUUUCUAUUCAAAAUUAAACCUCAUUUAUGUACAUGAUAUGAGUAAGUUAAUAUUAAAAUCGUAAUUUAUAGUUAUUGUAUAUUUUAUAUAAGAGGAAAUCUAAGUAAUUGUAUUUGUAUUUGAAGAUAUCCCACAAAUUUAUAUGGUGAUUAUAUCAGUUAUACAACUAAGAACACACACAUAUUGCUUGUGCUAUGCUCAUUUUCAUUCCAAAUUAGAAAAAGCAUAAACGUUAAGAUUGAUAUCAACCAAAAUUUGAAAAAUGAUACAUAUAAAAGGAUUUUUUGGGAUGUCAUUUUAUAAUAAAAUUUCUUUACAAUUUUAAAUAAGCAUUCCAAAAACUUUUAAAGUAAUUGAAUAAUCCUUACUCAAAUAACUCAAUAUUCAUUGUUUCAUUUAUAUUGAAAAUUAACAAAAUGUUGACUUCAAAAGUUUAACGAGUUUUACAAAAACAUAAUAUGUCUUAUUAUGAAACAAAUCAUUAAACAACUGAACACUGGAUGAGAGUGAAUAUCUUUGAUUUGGUUUUAUGUUGUGUUGGUGCCUAAAAUAGAUUUACACUGCACUCGUUCUAUUUGAGCAGUCAAAUUGCGUUGACCGUAUAUUUCUAUGUCAUAUACAGUCACUGACAUGAUAUCACUUUUCCUCAUGAAUAUUUAAAAUAGAAAUUGCCGAGAUUAUAAUUAAUUAUUCAUACGACUUAUUCAACCUGUUCUUGUUUUUAAUGUAUACAACAACUCAAACUUAUUUCUUUUGCAAUUUUUAUAUAAAAAAAAAAACAUAUUUCACUUGUUAAUAUGUUUGGUCUGCAUACUAUAAAUCAUUAUAUUUAUGUUUAUUGUUGAUAUUUUAGUUCAUUCUUAAACAAAUUCGUUCACCAUCGAUUGUGAAUUUCAACAGGUAAAUGUACAUUUCAUCGUGUUGUAUAUUUCUCCGCCUGCAUGAUAUGAGGCCUUUCUAUAAAAGGGGGAAGUUUCCCAAUAUUUAAAUCAAUGGUGACAUUAACACAUUAAACAACAAUUGAAAAUGUUUUUUUUAGAUUGCAGUAUAAAGACAAUAAUAGUGCAUUGACUUGACAUAUCAACGAUAUAAGGAUUCAGCCCGAAACGGGGAAAAAGCUCGGCAGAGCCUCGCAUUUCCCCGUUUCUAAGCCUCAUCCUUAUAUCGUUGAUAUGUCAAGUCAAUGCACUAUUAUUGUCUAUAUAUGAAAAAUAUAAUGAAAAUUCAGAGUAAAGGAAUUUCUCAUGUUAGGAUUUUUAAUGCUUCUGAAUGCGUAGUAAGAAAGGAAAUGCAAUGUAACACAUCACUUAUUGAGUCUUGUAAAAUUUUAUUAACUAUUCCUUAUUUGAAUGCAAUUAAAGCUACACAUGCCAUAUUUAUAUGUAAGAACUCUUUUUUCAGCUUCACAGUUUUAUACAAAGACACAAUGAUGGAAACCUAGCUGUAACAGCUGCCUGGAUACAAGCCAAUCUUGCCCAAAGACAAUCUAUAUCAUAGCAUAUUAUAUGUAUUGUUUAUAAACUAUACAAAAGCCCAAAAGCUGUGAUAGAAGCAUUAUGUAAACCAGUCAAGGAAACUUAAAGUCAUGUUGACAUAAUUUUCCUCUGUUAUUUGUUAGAUCACCUGUGUUGAUCCACGAUUUAUAUUUUGCCAAGUGCCUUGAGUAAGUAAAGAUAAAAAAAAGUGAAUGGUCUAUUGUUGCAACAUUUUCCCUGAAAAAUAGACCAGUAUGCAGACACCAAUGAUGAUCUAUUUAUCUGUAUUGGCUACAAAAGUAAGGGUCACGUUUUCGUAUGUUGGUGUUAUUCUUUUUAUAAAGAUAACAAGAUGGGGUUUGAUUGCCAAUGAGACAAAUUUUCACCAGAGACCAAAUGACAUAGUAGUAAACAACUAUAACUGUUUGUCUCAAUACCUCUCAGUCUUGUACCAGGUGAAAGAUUCUGGUUUCAAGGGUAGUUUACUUUGAAGUUGUGGUUACUUCAACUUGAAAUUUAG